CAAUAGCGUAUAUUAAAGUUGUUGCAGUUAAAAAGCUCGUAGUUGGACCUUGGACCUGGACAGGCGGUCCGCCACACGGCGAGUACUGUCUUGCUGGGUCUUUCCUCUUGGUGAUCUGUUGUUUCGGCAGCAGGGAACCAGGACCUUUACUUUGAAAAAAUUAGAGUGUUCAAAGCAGGCUCGACGCCGGAAUAUAUUAGCAUGGAAUAAUAAAAUAGGACGUGCGGUUCUAUUUUGUUGGUUUUUGGAAUCGCCGUAAUGAUUAAUAGGGACAGUCGGGGGCAUUAGUACUCACAUGCUAGAGGUGAAAUUCUUGGAUUUUGUGAAGACUAACUUCUGCGAAAGCAUUUGCCAAGGAUGUUUUCAUUA
RNAcentral lists this ribosomal RNA (369 nucleotides) under uncultured eukaryote. RNAcentral's name for it is "partial 18S ribosomal RNA". It matches the Rfam family "Eukaryotic small subunit ribosomal RNA", at positions 592 to 975 of the family's 1831-position model. The record is from RNAcentral.